This 497-nucleotide ribosomal RNA is filed under the name uncultured bacterium. RNAcentral describes it as "partial 16S ribosomal RNA". It matches the Rfam family "Bacterial small subunit ribosomal RNA", at positions 28 to 507 of the family's 1533-position model. The record is from RNAcentral.
GAUGAACGCUGGCGGCGUGCCUAAUACAUGCAAGUCGAGCGAACAGACGAGGAGCUUGCUCCUCUGACGUUAGCGGCGGACGGGUGAGUAACACGUGGAUAACCUACCUAUAAGACUGGGAUAACUUCGGGAAACCGGAGCUAAUACCGUAUAACAUGUUGAACCGCAUGGUUCGACAGUGAAAGACGGUCUUGCUGUCACUUAUAGAUGGAUCCGCGCCGCAUUAGCUAGUUGGUAAGGUAACGGCUUACCAAGGCAACGAUGCGUAGCCGACCUGAGAGGGUGAUCGGCCACACUGGAACUGAGACACGGUCCAGACUCCUACGGGAGGCAGCAGUAGGGAAUCUUCCGCAAUGGGCGAAAGCCUGACGGAGCAACGCCGCGUGAGUGAAGAAGGUCUUCGGAUCGUAAAACUCUGUUAUUAGGGAAGAACAAAUGUGUAAGUAACUAUGCACGUCUUGACGGUACCUAAUCAGAAAGCCACGGCUAACUACGUG